This 669-nucleotide ribosomal RNA is filed under the name uncultured soil bacterium. RNAcentral describes it as "bacterial SSU rRNA". It matches the Rfam family "Bacterial small subunit ribosomal RNA", at positions 123 to 787 of the family's 1533-position model. The record is from RNAcentral.
AACAUGUCCAGUCGUGGGGGAUAGCCCGGCGAAAGCCGGAUUAAUACCGCAUACGUCCGAGAGGAGAAAGCGGGGGACCGCAAGGCCUCGCGCGAUUGGGUUGGCCGAUGUCCGAUUAGCUAGUUGGUGGGGUAAAGGCCCACCAAGGCGAUGAUCGGUAGCUGGUCUGAGAGGAUGAUCAGCCACACUGGGACUGAGACACGGCCCAGACUCCUACGGGAGGCAGCAGUGGGGAAUUUUGGACAAUGGGGGCAACCCUGAUCCAGCCAUUCCGCGUGAGUGAAGAAGGCCUUCGGGUUGUAAAGCUCUUUUGUCCGGAACGAAACGGAUGCGACCAAUACUCGCGUCUACUGACGGUACCGGAAGAAUAAGCACCGGCUAACUACGUGCCAGCAGCCGCGGUAAUACGUAGGGUGCGAGCGUUAAUCGGAAUUACUGGGCGUAAAGCGUGCGCAGGCGGUUUUGUAAGCCAGAUGUGAAAUCCCCGGGCUUAACCUGGGAAUGGCAUUUGGGACUGCAAGGCUGGAGUGCGGCAGAGGAGACUGGAAUUCCUGGUGUAGCAGUGAAAUGCGUAGAUAUCAGGAGGAAUACCGAUGGCGAAGGCAGGUCUCUGGGCUGACACUGACGCUCAUGCACGAAAGCGUGGGGAGCAAACAGGAUUAGAUACCC